RNAcentral lists this ribosomal RNA (251 nucleotides) under uncultured microorganism. Its description in RNAcentral is "partial 16S ribosomal RNA". It matches the Rfam family "Archaeal small subunit ribosomal RNA", at positions 330 to 586 of the family's 1478-position model. The record is from RNAcentral.
GCGCAGCAGUCGCGAAAUCUCUCCAAUGUGUGAAACAUGAGAGGGGUAUUCCAAGUUCCCUUGUUAUGCAAGGGAUUUCUUUGGUCCAAGACGCCAAAGGAAUAAGAGCUGGGUAAGACCGGUGCCAGCCGCCGCGGUAACACCGGCAGCUCGAGUGGUGGCCACUAUUAUUGGGCCUAAAGCGUUCGUAGCCGGGCAGGUAAGUGCUCUGGUAAAUCCCAUAACUAAUUAUGGGGCUUCAGAACAUACUG